This 296-nucleotide ribosomal RNA is filed under the name uncultured bacterium. RNAcentral's name for it is "partial 16S ribosomal RNA". It matches the Rfam family "Bacterial small subunit ribosomal RNA", at positions 32 to 321 of the family's 1533-position model. The record is from RNAcentral.
AAUCAACGCUGGCGGCGUGCCUCAGACAUGCAAGUCGAACGCGAAAGUCCCCUUCGGGGAUGAUUAGAGUGGCGCACGGGUGAGUAACACGUAGGUAAUCUACCUUCGAGUGGGGAAUAACUCAGGGAAACUUGAGCUAAUACCGCAUAAUGCAGCGGCACCACAUGGUGACAGUUGUUAAAGCAUUUAUGCGCUUGAAGAGGAGCCUGCGGCGGAUAGCUAGUUGGUAAGGUAAUGGCUUACCAAGGCUACGAUCUGUAACCGGCCUGAGAGGGCGGACGGUCACACUGACACUG